GAUCCUGCUCAGGAUGAACGCUAGCUACAGGCUUAACACAUGCAAGUCGAGGGGCAGCAUGGUCUUAGCUUGCUAAGGCCGAUGGUGACCGGCGCACGGGUGAGUAACACGUAUCCAACCUGCCGUCUACUCUUGGACAGCCUUCUGAAAGGAAGAUUAAUACAAGAUGGCAUCAUGAGUCCGCAUGUUCACAUGAUUAAAGGUAUUCCGGUAGACGAUGGGGA
RNAcentral lists this ribosomal RNA (224 nucleotides) under uncultured bacterium. Its description in RNAcentral is "partial 16S ribosomal RNA". It matches the Rfam family "Bacterial small subunit ribosomal RNA", at positions 15 to 231 of the family's 1533-position model. The record is from RNAcentral.